CCAGUGUGAUUCGUCACACUAUCAUUAACUGAAUCCAUAGGUUAAUGAGGCGAACCGGGGGAACUGAAACAUCUAAGUACCCCGAGGAAAAGAAAUCAACCGAGAUUCCCCCAGUAGCGGCGAGCGAACGGGGAGGAGCCCAGAGCCUGAAUCAGCAUGUGUGUUAGUGGAAGCGUCUGGAAAGGCGCGCGAUACAGGGUGACAGCCCCGUACACAAAAGCGCAUGUGCUGUGAGCUCGAUGAGUAGGGCGGGACACGUGGUAUCCUGUCUGAAUAUGGGGGGACCAUCCUCCAAGGCUAAAUACUCCUGACUGACCGAUAGUGAACCAGUACCGUGAGGGAAAGGCGAAAAGAACCCCGGCGAGGGGAGUGAAAAAGAACCUGAAACCGUGUACGUACAAGCAGUGGGAGCACCCUUUGGGUGUGACUGCGUACCUUUUGUAUAAUGGGUCAGCGACUUAUAUUCUGUAGCAAGGUUAACCGAAUAGGGGAGCCGGAGGGAAACCGAGUCUUAACCGGGCGUUAAGUUGCAGGGUAUAGACCCGAAACCCGGUGAUCUAGCCAUGGGCAGGUUGAAGGUUGGGUAACACUAACUGGAGGACCGAACCGACUAAUGUUGAAAAAUUAGCGGAUGACCUGUGGCUGGGGGUGAAAGGCCAAUCAAACCGGGAGAUAGCUGGUUCUCCCCGAAAGCUAUUUAGGUAGCGCCUCGUGAAUUCAUCUCCGGGGGUAGAGCACUGUUUCGGCUAGGGGGCCAUCCCGGCUUACCAACCCGAUGCAAACUGCGAAUACCGGAGAAUGUUAUCACGGGAGACACACGGCGGGUGCUAACGUCCGUCGUGAAGAGGGAAACAACCCAGACCGCCAGCUAAGGUCCCAAAGUCAUGGUUAAGUGGGAAACGAUGUGGGAAGGCCCAGACAGCCAGGAUGUUGGCUUAGAAGCAGCCAUCAUUUAAAGAAAGCGUAAUAGCUCACUGGUCGAGUCGGCCUGCGCGGAAGAUGUAACGGGGCUAAACCAUGCACCGAAGCUGCGGCAGCGACACUGUGUGUUGUUGGGUAGGGGAGCGUUCUGUAAGCCUGUGAAGGUGUGUCGUGAGGCAUGCUGGAGGUAUCAGAAGUGCGAAUGCUGACAUAAGUAACGAUAAAGCGGGUGAAAAGCCCGCUCGCCGGAAGACCAAGGGUUCCUGUCCAACGUUAAUCGGGGCAGGGUGAGUCGACCCCUAAGGCGAGGCCGAAAGGCGUAGUCGAUGGGAAACGGGUUAAUAUUCCCGUACUUGGUGUUACUGCGAAGGGGGGACGGAGAAGGCUAUGUUGGCCGGGCGACGGUUGUCCCGGUUUAAGCGUGUAGGUGUGUGUUCCAGGUAAAUCCGGUUCACUUUAACACUGAGGCGUGACGACGAGGCACUACGGUGCUGAAGCAACAAAUGCCCUGCUUCCAGGAAAAGCCUCUAAGCAUCAGGUAACAUCAAAUCGUACCCCAAACCGACACAGGUGGUCAGGUAGAGAAUACCAAGGCGCUUGAGAGAACUCGGGUGAAGGAACUAGGCAAAAUGGUGCCGUAACUUCGGGAGAAGGCACGCUGACACGUAGGUGAAGUGAUUUACUCAUGGAGCUGAAGUCAGUCGAAGAUACCAGCUGGCUGCAACUGUUUAUUAAAAACACAGCACUGUGCAAACACGAAAGUGGACGUAUACGGUGUGACGCCUGCCCGGUGCCGGAAGGUUAAUUGAUGGGGUCAGCGCAAGCGAAGCUCCUGAUCGAAGCCCCGGUAAACGGCGGCCGUAACUAUAACGGUCCUAAGGUAGCGAAAUUCCUUGUCGGGUAAGUUCCGACCUGCACGAAUGGCGUAAUGAUGGCCAGGCUGUCUCCACCCGAGACUCAGUGAAAUUGAACUCGCUGUGAAGAUGCAGUGUACCCGCGGCAAGACGGAAAGACCCCGUGAACCUUUACUAUAGCUUGACACUGAACAUUGAGCCUUGAUGUGUAGGAUAGGUGGGAGGCUUUGAAGUGUGGACGCCAGUCUGCAUGGAGCCGACCUUGAAAUACCACCCUUUAAUGUUUGAUGUUCUAACGUGGACCCGUUACCCGGGUUGCGGACAGUGUCUGGUGGGUAGUUUGACUGGGGCGGUCUCCUCCUAAAGAGUAACGGAGGAGCACGAAGGUUGGCUAAUCCUGGUCGGACAUCAGGAGGUUAGUGCAAUGGCAUAAGCCAGCUUGACUGCGAGCGUGACGGCGCGAGCAGGUGCGAAAGCAGGUCAUAGUGAUCCGGUGGUUCUGAAUGGAAGGGCCAUCGCUCAACGGAUAAAAGGUACUCCGGGGAUAACAGGCUGAUACCGCCCAAGAGUUCAUAUCGACGGCGGUGUUUGGCACCUCGAUGUCGGCUCAUCACAUCCUGGGGCUGAAGUAGGUCCCAAGGGUAUGGCUGUUCGCCAUUUAAAGUGGUACGCGAGCUGGGUUUAGAACGUCGUGAGACAGUUCGGUCCCUAUCUGCCGUGGGCGCUGGAGAACUGAGGGGGGCUGCUCCUAGUACGAGAGGACCGGAGUGGACGCAUCACUGGUGUUCGGGUUGUCAUGCCAAUGGCACUGCCCGGUAGCUAAAUGCGGAAGAGAUAAGUGCUGAAAGCAUCUAAGCACGAAACUUGCCCCGAGAUGAGUUCUCCCUGAGACUUAGAGUCUCCUGAAGGAACGUUGAAGACGACGACGUUGAUAGGCCGGGUGUGUAAGCGCAGCGAUGCGUUGAGCUAACCGGUACUAAUGAACCGUGAGGCUUAACCUUACAACGCCGAAG
RNAcentral lists this ribosomal RNA (2788 nucleotides) under Salmonella enterica. RNAcentral describes it as "partial 23S ribosomal RNA". It matches the Rfam family "Bacterial large subunit ribosomal RNA". The record is from RNAcentral. Lineage: Bacteria; Pseudomonadati; Pseudomonadota; Gammaproteobacteria; Enterobacterales; Enterobacteriaceae.